Molecule: ribosomal RNA, 442 nt
Filed under: uncultured bacterium
Lineage: Bacteria
Description: partial 16S ribosomal RNA
Rfam family: Bacterial small subunit ribosomal RNA
Source: RNAcentral
CCUACGGGAGGCAGCAGUGAGGAAUAUUGGUCAAUGGACGGAAGUCUGAACCAGCCAUGCCGCGUGCAGGAUGAAGGCCUUCGGGUUGUAAACUGCUUUUAUAAGCGAGAAAUAUGAUGGUAACUUAUGAAUAAGGAUCGGCUAACUACGUGCCAGCAGCCGCGGUCAUACGUAGGAUCCGAGCAUUAUCCGGAGUGACUGGGUGUAAAGAGUUGCGUAGGUGGCAUAAUAAGUAGCUAGUGAAAUCUGGUGGCUCAACCAUUCAGACUAUUAGCUAAACUGUUAAGCUCGAGACCGUUAGGGGUAACUGGAAUUUCUAGUGUAGGAGUGAAAUCCGUAGAUAUUAGAAGGAACACCAAUAGCGUAGGCAGGUUGCUGGGACGGUUCUGACACUAAGGCACGAAAGCGUAGGGAGCAAACGGGAUUAGAUACCCGUGUAGUC